GAAAUGCGAUAAUUAAUGUGAAUUGCAGAAUUCAGUGAAUCAUCGAGUCUUUGAACGCACAUUGCGCCCCCUGGUAUUCCGGGGGCAUGCCUGUCCGAGCGUCAUUGCUGCCCUCAAGCACGGCUUGUGUGUUGGGCUUCCGUCCCUGGCAACGGGGACGGGCCCAAAAGGCAGUGGCGGCACCAUGUCUGGUCCUCGAGCGUAUGGGGCUUUGUCACCCACUCCCGUAGGUCCAGCUGGCAGCUAGCCUCGCAACCAAUCUUUUUAACCAGGUUGACCUCGGAUCAGGUAGGGAUACCCGCUGAACUUAAGC
This 313-nucleotide unclassified non-coding RNA is filed under the name plant metagenome. Its description in RNAcentral is "partial contains 5.8S ribosomal RNA, internal transcribed spacer 2, and large subunit ribosomal RNA". The stretch from base 1 to 104 matches the Rfam family "5.8S ribosomal RNA", at positions 50 to 154 of the family's 154-position model. The record is from RNAcentral.